CUUAUAAAGGUAAACAAGUUUCAAGCAGCUAAGUAAGCGAUUGAAGGUUCUGGAAGAAGAAACUGAAACUAUGAAGCAAUAAUUUUUCUAGCACAUGGAAGAAAGAAAAAAUCUGGUGGCUUAAAUAUACCAACAGUUUCAGACAAGACACUAUUGUCUCCAAUAUGAAAUCAAAUAGUACAUGAAAAGAGAUCACCUCGUGAUGGAUCUUCGAUUGUCAGAUUUCUCAAGGGUUAUCUUGGCAGAAGUUCUAUGCCGAAAAUAAAGUCCAUGCAUUGUCUGAAGAGGACACGAAACGAAUAAGAAAGCUGCUGAUACAAUGCAUUCUUUCAGAAAAUGAAUGACAGGGCUGUCUAGAACCACAUAUAACUUAUUGUCCGCUUGAGAGUUUUUGUUGCCAAGGAUUUGUAACUGUUGUGUAAUGUUAGGUUUUCUGUGUUUGAAGAUAUACUUUUUUCCGAGAUAGAGAUUAGGUUGCUAUCCCUUUUCUUUCUUUUUUAUUCUUUCCUCCUGUCAAAACUAUGUUGUUUUUAGAGUGAUAAUUAUUUUCUCA
Populus nigra (black poplar) is the source of this 553-nucleotide long non-coding RNA. RefSeq lists it as uncharacterized. Lineage: Eukaryota; Viridiplantae; Streptophyta; Magnoliopsida; Malpighiales; Salicaceae. The transcript is spliced from 2 exons. The record is from RefSeq and is a predicted model, not a curated record.